GAUGAACGCUGGCGGCGUGCCUAAUACAUGCAAGUCGAGCGAACAGACGAGGAGCUUGCUCCUCUGACGUUAGCGGCGGACGGGUGAGUAACACGUGGAUAACCUACCUAUAAGACUGGGAUAACUUCGGGAAACCGGAGCUAAUACCGGAUAAUAUAUUGAACCGCAUGGUUCAAUAGUGAAAGACGGUUUUGCUGUCACUUAUAGAUGGAUCCGCGCCGCAUUAGCUAGUUGGUAAGGUAACGGCUUACCAAGGCAACGAUGCGUAGCCGACCUGAGAGGGUGAUCGGCUACACUGGCACUGAGACAGAGUCCAGACUCCUACGGGAGGAAGCAGUAGAGAAUCUUCCGCAAGGGGCGAAAGCGUGACGGAGCAACGCGGGGUGAGUGAUGAAGGUCUUCGGAUGGUAAAGCUCUGUUAUUAGUGAAGAACUAAAGUGUAAGUAACUAUGAACGUCUUGACGGUACCGAGUCAGAAAGCCACGGCUAACUACGUG
RNAcentral lists this ribosomal RNA (497 nucleotides) under uncultured bacterium. Its description in RNAcentral is "partial 16S ribosomal RNA". It matches the Rfam family "Bacterial small subunit ribosomal RNA", at positions 28 to 507 of the family's 1533-position model. The record is from RNAcentral.